Molecule: ribosomal RNA, 253 nt
Filed under: uncultured bacterium
Lineage: Bacteria
Description: partial 16S ribosomal RNA
Rfam family: Bacterial small subunit ribosomal RNA
Source: RNAcentral
UACGUAGGGUGCAAGCGUUGUCCGGAAUUAUUGGGCGUAAAGAGCUCGUAGGCGGUUUGUCGCGUCUGCUGUGAAAACUCGGGGCUUAACUCCGGGCCUGCAGUGGGUACGGGCAGACUAGAGUGCAGUAGGGGAGACUGGAAUUCCUGGUGUAGCGGUGAAAUGCGCAGAUAUCAGGAGGAACACCGGUGGCGAAGGCGGGUCUCUGGGCCGUAACUGACGCUGAGGAGCGAAAGCGUGGGGAGCGAACAGG